This 258-nucleotide ribosomal RNA is filed under the name Clostridioides difficile. RNAcentral describes it as "partial 16S ribosomal RNA". It matches the Rfam family "Bacterial small subunit ribosomal RNA", at positions 246 to 521 of the family's 1533-position model. Lineage: Bacteria; Bacillati; Bacillota; Clostridia; Peptostreptococcales; Peptostreptococcaceae. The record is from RNAcentral.
UAGUUGGUAAGGUAACGGCUUACCAAGGCGACGAUCAGUAGCCGACCUGAGAGGGGGAUCGGCCACAUUGGAACUGAGACACGGUCCAAACUCCUACGGGAGGCAGCAGUGGGGAAUAUUGCACAAUGGGCGAAAGCCGGAUGCAGCAACGCCGCGUGAGUGAUGAAGGCCUUCGGGUCGUAAAACUCUGUCCUCAAGGAAGAUAAUGACGGUACUGGAGGAGGAAGCCCCGGCUAACUACGUGCCAGCAGCCGCGGG